RNAcentral lists this transfer RNA (76 nucleotides) under Candidatus Phycorickettsia trachydisci. RNAcentral describes it as "tRNA-Thr". It matches the Rfam family "tRNA". From Rfam's summary of the family: Transfer RNA (tRNA) molecules are approximately 80 nucleotides in length. Lineage: Bacteria; Pseudomonadati; Pseudomonadota; Alphaproteobacteria; Rickettsiales; Rickettsiaceae. The record is from RNAcentral.
GCCGACAUAGCUCAGAGGCCAGAGCAGCACAUUCGUAAUGUGCGGGUCAGGGGUUCAAAUCCCUUUGUCGGCACCA